UACGUAGGGGGCUAGCGUUGUCCGGAUUUAUUGGGCGUAAAGAGCGUGUAGGCGGCCAAGUAGGUCCGUUGUGAAAACUGGAGGCUUAACCUCCAGCUGUCGAUGGAAACCAUUUGGCUAGAGUCCGGAAGAGGAGAGUGGAAUUCCUGGUGUAGCGGUGAAAUGCGCAGAUAUCAGGAAGAACACCCGUGGCGAAGGCGGCUCUCUGGGACGGUACUGACGCUGAGGAGCGAAAGCGUGGGGAGCGAACAGG
This 253-nucleotide ribosomal RNA is filed under the name uncultured bacterium. RNAcentral's name for it is "partial 16S ribosomal RNA". It matches the Rfam family "Bacterial small subunit ribosomal RNA", at positions 524 to 776 of the family's 1533-position model. The record is from RNAcentral.